RNAcentral lists this ribosomal RNA (305 nucleotides) under uncultured bacterium. RNAcentral describes it as "bacterial SSU rRNA". It matches the Rfam family "Bacterial small subunit ribosomal RNA", at positions 333 to 655 of the family's 1533-position model. The record is from RNAcentral.
UGAUUCCUACGGGAGGCAGCAGUGGGGAAUAUUGCACAAUGGGGGAAACCCUGAUGCAGCGACGCCGCGUGAGCGAAGAAGUAUUUCGGUAUGUAAAGCUCUAUCAGCAGGGAAGAAAAUGACGGUACCUGACUAAGAAGCCCCGGCUAACUACGUGCCAGCAGCCGCGGUAAUACGUAGGGGGCAAGCGUUAUCCGGAUUUACUGGGUGUAAAGGGAGCGUAGGCGGUGCAGCAAGUCAGAAGUGAAAGCCCGGGGCUCAACUCCGGGACUGCUUUGGAAACUGCCUGACUGGAGUGCUGGAGG